This 1372-nucleotide ribosomal RNA is filed under the name uncultured bacterium. Its description in RNAcentral is "bacterial SSU rRNA". It matches the Rfam family "Bacterial small subunit ribosomal RNA", at positions 28 to 1381 of the family's 1533-position model. The record is from RNAcentral.
GAUGAACGCUGGCUGCGUGCCUAAUACAUGCAAGUCGAGCGAACGGACGAGAAGCUUGCUUCUCUGAUGUUAGCGGCGGACGGGUGAGUAACACGUGGAUAACCUACCUAUAAGACUGGGAUAACUUCGGGAAACCGGAGCUAAUACCGGAUAAUAUUUUGAACCGCAUGGUUCAAAAGUGAAAGACGGUCUUGCUGUCACUUAUAGAUGGAUCCGCGCUGCAUUAGCUAGUUGGUAAGGUAACGGCUUACCAAGGCAACGAUGCAUAGCCGACCUGAGAGGGUGAUCGGCCACACUGGAACUGAGACACGGUCCAGACUCCUACGGGAGGCAGCAGUAGGGAAUCUUCCGCAAUGGGCGAAAGCCUGACGGAGCAACGCCGCGUGAGUGAUGAAGGUCUUCGGAUCGUAAAACUCUGUUAUUAGGGAAGAACAUAUGUGUAAGUAACUGUGCACAUCUUGACGGUACCUAAUCAGAAAGCCACGGCUAACUACGUGCCAGCAGCCGCGGUAAUACGUAGGUGGCAAGCGUUAUCCGGAAUUAUUGGGCGUAAAGCGCGCGUAGGCGGUUUUUUAAGUCUGAUGUGAAAGCCCACGGCUCAACCGUGGAGGGUCAUUGGAAACUGGAAAACUUGAGUGCAGAAGAGGAAAGUGGAAUUCCAUGUGUAGCGGUGAAAUGCGCAGAGAUAUGGAGGAACACCAGUGGCGAAGGCGACUUUCUGGUCUGUAACUGACGCUGAUGUGCGAAAGCGUGGGGAUCAAACAGGAUUAGAUACCCUGGUAGUCCACGCCGUAAACGAUGAGUGCUAAGUGUUAGGGGGUUUCCGCCCCUUAGUGCUGCAGCUAACGCAUUAAGCACUCCGCCUGGGGAGUACGACCGCAAGGUUGAAACUCAAAGGAAUUGACGGGGACCCGCACAAGCGGUGGAGCAUGUGGUUUAAUUCGAAGCAACGCGAAGAACCUUACCAAAUCUUGACAUCCUUUGACAACUCUAGAGAUAGAGCUUUCCCCUUCGGGGGACAAAGUGACAGGUGGUGCAUGGUUGUCGUCAGCUCGUGUCGUGAGAUGUUGGGUUAAGUCCCGCAACGAGCGCAACCCUUAAGCUUAGUUGCCAUCAUUAAGUUGGGCACUCUAAGUUGACUGCCGGUGACAAACCGGAGGAAGGUGGGGAUGACGUCAAAUCAUCAUGCCCCUUAUGAUUUGGGCUACACACGUGCUACAAUGGACAAUACAAAGGGCAGCGAAACCGUGAGGUCAAGCAAAUCCCAUAAAGUUGUUCUCAGUUCGGAUUGUAGUCUGCAACUCGACUACAUGAAGCUGGAAUCGCUAGUAAUCGUAGAUCAGCAUGCUACGGUGAAUACGUUCCCGGGUCU